AAAAUUUAACCAUUCGUAUGGAGAUCACAUAGACGCAACUAAUUACUUGAUAAAGGCUGGAGCGAAUGCCAAAUUAAAAAACCAGGAUGGUCAAACUCCAGCUGAAGUGUAUGUGGACAACAAAUGU
This is a long non-coding RNA of Anneissia japonica, 127 nucleotides long. RefSeq lists it as uncharacterized. Lineage: Eukaryota; Metazoa; Echinodermata; Crinoidea; Comatulida; Comatulidae. The record is from RefSeq and is a predicted model, not a curated record. The transcript is spliced from 2 exons.